AGUAAUGAAUGUGUCUGGUUCAACUUUGGCUUUCACACUAUGAUAGGAUGAGAUAGCAACCACCACUCAAGACUGUAGUUUAGGUUCAGCGGAGUCACUGACAAAAAAGAAAACACAAGGCCCAAGAUGAGGAGCUCGAGUUCUUCAUGUGGGAGCAGACCUUCAACUGGUCUUCCCGAGAUCCAGGUUCUACUAAAGAUAUUUGAUAAACCGAUACCUGCUUUUAUCUGGAACAAGAAAAACCCUCGGAUACGUGAGAGUAUUGCAG
Molecule: long non-coding RNA, 268 nt
Organism: Oncorhynchus masou masou (cherry salmon)
Lineage: Eukaryota; Metazoa; Chordata; Actinopteri; Salmoniformes; Salmonidae
Exons: 3
Source: RefSeq, a predicted model, not a curated record